This 392-nucleotide ribosomal RNA is filed under the name uncultured delta proteobacterium. RNAcentral's name for it is "bacterial SSU rRNA". It matches the Rfam family "Bacterial small subunit ribosomal RNA", at positions 600 to 990 of the family's 1533-position model. The record is from RNAcentral. Lineage: Bacteria; Deltaproteobacteria.
GCCCGGGGCUUAACCCCGGAAGUGCAUUUGAAACUAAAGGGCUUGAGUAUGGGAGAGGGAAGUGGAAUUCCAGGUGUAGCGGUGAAAUGCGUAGAUAUCAGGAGGAACACCGGUGGCGAAGGCGACUUCCUGGACCAAUACUGACGCUAAGGCGCGAAGGCGUGGGUAGCAAACAGGAUUAGAUACCCUGGUAGUCCACGCAGUAAACGGUGAACACUAGGUGUAGCGGGUAUUGACCCCUGCUGUGCCGCAGCUAACGCAUUAAGUGUUCCGCCUGGGGAGUACGGUCGCAAGAUUAAAACUCAAAGGAAUUGACGGGGGCCCGCACGAGCGGUGGAGCAUGUGGUUUAAUUCGACGCAACGCGAAGAACCUUACCUGGAUUUGACAUCCC